GCAGCGAAACGCGAUAGUUAAUGUGAAUUGCAGAAUUCAGUGAAUCAUCGAGUCUUUGAACGCACAUUGCGCCCAUUGGUAUUCCUUUGGGCAUGUCUGUUUGAGCGUCAUUACAACCCCUCAGCUAACGCUGGUUUUGAACCGGGACAGGUUGACACCUGCACCGGUUUUAAAGUUGUAAGCUCUGCUGGCUGCUCUGCCCCAACCGGAACAUAGUAAAAACUACUACUUGUUAAGGCGAGGCGAAGCGGUACGGCCUGAACAAAACCUACCCAUUUUUCUAAGGUUUGACCUCAGAUCAGACAAGGAUACCCGCUGAACUUAAGCAUAUCAAUAAGCGGAGGA
RNAcentral lists this ribosomal RNA (345 nucleotides) under uncultured Orbiliaceae. RNAcentral's name for it is "eukaryotic LSU rRNA". The stretch from base 1 to 110 matches the Rfam family "5.8S ribosomal RNA", at positions 45 to 154 of the family's 154-position model. The record is from RNAcentral. Lineage: Eukaryota; Fungi; Ascomycota; Orbiliomycetes; Orbiliales.